This 499-nucleotide ribosomal RNA is filed under the name uncultured bacterium. Its description in RNAcentral is "partial 16S ribosomal RNA". It matches the Rfam family "Bacterial small subunit ribosomal RNA", at positions 28 to 507 of the family's 1533-position model. The record is from RNAcentral.
GACGAACGCUGGCGGCGUGCUUAACACAUGCAAGUCGAACGGGCCUGUCUUCUUUUUUGGGGGUGGGUUGAGUGGCGAACGGGUGAGUAUCACGUGAGUAACCUGCCCUUCGGUCCUGGAUAACCGCUUGAAAGGGCGGCUAAUACGGGGUGGUCCGGUUGGUCCGCAUGGGCUGGUCGGGAUAGAUUCACUGUUUUUGGUGUUUCGGCGGGGGAUGGGCUCGCGGCCUAUCAGCUUGUUGGUGGGGGGAUGGCCUACCAAGGCGGUGACGGGUAGCCGGCCUGAGAGGGUGGGCGGCCACACUGGGACUGAGAUACGGCCCAGACUCCUGCGGGAGGCAGCAGUGGGGGGUAUUGCACAAUGGGCGGAAGCCUGAUGCAGCGACGUCGCGUGAGGGAUGGAGGCCUUCGGGUUGUGAACCUCUGUUUCCGGUGGUGAAGGCCCUGUCCGUGUGGUGGGGUUGACGGUAGCCGGGGAUGAAGCGCCGGCUAACUACGUG